UACGUAGGUGGCGAGCGUUGUCCGGAUUUACUGGGCGUAAAGGGAGCGUAGGCGGACUUUUAAGUGAGAUGUGAAAUACCCGGGCUCAACUUGGGUGCUGCAUUUCAAACUGGAAGUCUAGAGUGCAGGAGAGGAGAAUGGAAUUCCUAGUGUAGCGGUGAAAUGCGUAGAGAUUAGGAAGAACACCAGUAGCGAAGGCGAUUCUCUGGACUGUAACUGACACUGAGGCUCGAAAGCGUGGGGAGCAAACAGGAUUAGAUACCCGUGUA
Molecule: ribosomal RNA, 269 nt
Filed under: uncultured prokaryote
Description: partial 16S ribosomal RNA
Rfam family: Bacterial small subunit ribosomal RNA
Source: RNAcentral